CCUACGGGGGGCUGCAGUGGGGAAUAUUGGACAAUGGGGGGAACCCUGAUCCAGCCAUGCCGCGUGUGUGAAGAAGGCCCUCGGGUUGUAAAGCACUUUCAGUGAGGAAGAACGCCUGGUGGUUAAUACCCAUCAGGAAAGACAUCACUCACAGAAGAAGCACCGGCUAACUCCGUGCCAGCAGCCGCGGUAAUAAGGAGGGUGCGAGCGUUAAUCGGAAUUACUGGGCGUAAAGCGCGCGUAGGUGGCUUGAUAAGCCGGUUGUGAAAGCCCCGGGCUCAACCUGGGAACGGCAUCCGGAACUGUCAAGCUAGAGUGCAGGAGAGGAAGGUAGAAUUCCCGGUGUAGCGGUGAAAUGCGUAGAGAUCGGGAGGAAUACCAGUGGCGAAGGCGGCCUUCUGGACUGACACUGACACUGAGGUGCGAAAGCGUGGGUAGCAAACAGGAUUAGAUACCCCUGUAGUC
Molecule: ribosomal RNA, 465 nt
Filed under: Vreelandella stevensii
Lineage: Bacteria; Pseudomonadati; Pseudomonadota; Gammaproteobacteria; Oceanospirillales; Halomonadaceae
Description: partial 16S ribosomal RNA
Rfam family: Bacterial small subunit ribosomal RNA
Source: RNAcentral